RNAcentral lists this long non-coding RNA (2486 nucleotides) under Neodiprion pinetum (white pine sawfly). RNAcentral describes it as "uncharacterized LOC124216528, transcript variant X2". Lineage: Eukaryota; Metazoa; Arthropoda; Insecta; Hymenoptera; Diprionidae. The record is from RNAcentral.
UAAUUACUAUUUUAUAACAUACGAUACGGUGAUAAUUUUCAAAACUUGUGAUAUCGUUGAACCAAGUGUUCGAUCAAUGAUGAAAUAAAAUUGACGAGAAGAGAAGAAACAGGAAAAAAAAUGUAUAACCGUUUGAAAGUCCGUUAUAAGAAAUAAAACGGAUAUAAAUUAUAGGAUUAGAAGUCGAAACGAUUGUCGGAUAGAGUUGGAAAAAGUUGAAAAAUAAAAGUAGGAAAUGUAUAUAAAUCAGUAACGAACUUGAUGAUACUAGGAAAAUAAAAAAUCAUUAGCCCUAAAUCAUCGAAAAGUUAAUUAAUUAUCUGCGCAAUAUAGUUUCAAUUACCUACACUUGUACGUAUAUUCGUGUCACGAGAGAAUUUUAUGGCCGAUGGCAUUUUAAUUGUUUGUUUUACACGUGUGAAUGCCACGAGAUAAAUAUAUUUUGGUCGAUGGCACAUUUUAUUGCUUUAUUUGUUUCUUACUCUGUUUCGUACAAUAUCUAGAACCGUGCCACGAGUAACGAUACAAUUGGUCGAUGGCAAUGCGUUGAGCGAUUGAGUUUCUGCAUGUUAGAAAAUGGCUAAAAAGAAUUUAAAAGAAAUACUGAUUCCAACCCUCUGCCGACACGAUUUUCACGAUACCGUAAAGAAAAAAAAGAAAAAGAAAAGAACAAUGAUUAAACACUAGUAAUAAAAUUAGAAAUAUGAACUACAAUUUCUACAGUAGUUUCUUAUACGUAUUUAAAUAUUCAGUCACCGAUUUUUUUGACUCGUGGCUAAUUAUUAUGUAACGAAGAACGAACGCUUUAUCCUCUAUUUUCUUUACGUCACAUGAGUGGCGACACUCGAAUUAAUAAUGUGUGCCAAUCAAAAGAAGCCGGUAUUUCUCAUAAACGAUAACUCUUCACUCCAGUAGAUGGAGUUAUUUUUAACGUUUUGCGAAAAGUAUACGUAAUCGCGUAUUCGUAUAUUGUGCAUACAAAUAGGGUAUUUAUUUUAUUUCAUUUUGUUUCCUCUUAUUUUAUUUCAUUUUUUCCAUCAGAAUUUCGAGAUAAGGUUGGGUCAAGUCUGCAAGCUAUGCUGCUUGUAAUACAUUUAAUAUGUGUAACGUAAUACGUAAGAAAUAUGCUGUAAUACCACGAGAUUGAUAUCCGCGAGUCGAUGGCGCAAUUUCUUCACUCCUAUUCGUUGGAAAUAAUAAUCUUUCAAGAUUUCUUGCUCUCGUCAUGAUUUAAUAUGCUUUGGGAAAAAAAAAAUCCUCAGAUGUAGGUUACGUGAAUAAUUCAUAAUUAGUUCUUACGAAUUACGAGGAGCAUGCAAUUUCUGUUAUGUGGUAUUUAGCCAGUUGAUAAAUUUUUAUUCUCAAACUAACGAAAUUUCUUCUUUCUCGAUUUCAUGCACCAAUCAUACCGUUGAUGAGUUGAUCGAUACGAUUCUUGAUGGAGACGAUAGAAAUUCUGCUUUUCGAAGAGCGUGAAAAGCCGAGGGGGAACGCGACGCCGGGGAUAAAACAGCGGCGGUAAUUCCGGAUGAAGCCGGUGCGGAGCACCUGCCAGAUCAUCCGGACAUUUCGACGGGUGGUUGCAGCUUGGAUGCAGCCGGCGCAACGACUCUCUUCUCUCCGAGGAGAUGCUGGUGCAGCUGAGCAGCUAAGAUGUGACGUCACGGUGGCCGCCCGGUCUCGGGACUAAUAUGGCAAACCGGUCAACCGGUCUGACGAUCCCCGGUUUCGAACCAGCUCCUCCUUCACCGUCUGCCGGAUAACUGUUCAAAAAGAUCGGAACCAUCGCGCGGCAUCGCCUGCUUGCUCUUUAACGUCAAUUUUAUUUUUACUUUUACGUAAUAAUUGCUCGAUUUCGGAUUUGUUGCUAGACAUCGCAACCUGAGUCGUGAAAAGUUACACGAUCGAAAGAUGCCUACGACAUUUUUUAUCUUAACAAUUAUCUUUUUCUUUCUUCAACAAACAAUUUCCCCGAUCAUUUUUCGUUACAUGGUUUUCGAGUCUUACUAGUUCAACCGUUGUUACAGUAUAAUUGAUUACUAGUGCGGUAUUGUUCAGCCGGAAUUGGAAUUAUCACUUUUCUCAGACUCAUUUUUUUUUUUUUUUUUUUGAAUAUAAUUGAAACACCUUUGGCUGGCAAUUGUUCAUUAAUAUUACAUUUUAUACUUCUUCUCGUAGGAGGUAGAAUGUGUAAUGAGCUCCGUUUUUUUCUUGCAUAGUCUCAAGAACUGUAAUAAAAUUUGAAGCCUGAUAUCUUGAGUCCGAAAAUUCGAUUAUCAAUAUUUCGGAAAACAAUCACAAUACGUGACUGGGAAAAUGUUUAUACAUUGUACAUAUAAUAUUUUCACUAUUUUUUAUUCAAAAUUGAUUCAGACCGUUUCCAUUCACGGAUGACACUGUUGUAAUAAUUUAUUUAUAAAUAACCUAGAACCUCAAGUUACAAGUACGAGGGAAUAAAAUGUUAAUAAAUUUGAAGAAAAACCGAA